This 180-nucleotide unclassified non-coding RNA is filed under the name soil metagenome. Its description in RNAcentral is "partial internal transcribed spacer 1". The record is from RNAcentral.
CAGAGUUGCAAAACUCCCAACCAUUGUGAACCUACCUCAUCGUUGCCUCGGCGGGUGGCCCCUCCCCUCACCCGGGUCGGGCCGCGUCGGCACCCGGAUUCCCGGCGCCGGCAAUCCCGUCAGAGGACCCGCAACUCUUCGUCAUCAUUGGCCUCUCUGAGUAACUUAUACAAUAAGUCA